GUUGAAUAUGCUUACCGUAGACAGUAGGUGCUUUCGGGCUUAAUUUCCUACCGAGGUGUUAUGAUAGAACGUUUCAUGCGACGGGCUUGUCCCGUCCAUGUGGAUUUAUCAAGCCUUCGUACUCUGCGGAGGCUUUUUUCAU
RNAcentral lists this small RNA (142 nucleotides) under Paenibacillus polymyxa. RNAcentral's name for it is "Ribosomal protein L10 leader". It matches the Rfam family "Ribosomal protein L10 leader". Rfam says of the family: This family is a putative r-protein leader autoregulatory structure found in B. subtilis and other low-GC Gram-positive bacteria. Lineage: Bacteria; Bacillati; Bacillota; Bacilli; Caryophanales; Paenibacillaceae. The record is from RNAcentral.